This 255-nucleotide ribosomal RNA is filed under the name uncultured bacterium. Its description in RNAcentral is "partial 16S ribosomal RNA". It matches the Rfam family "Bacterial small subunit ribosomal RNA", at positions 524 to 777 of the family's 1533-position model. The record is from RNAcentral.
UACGAGGGGGGCGAGCGUUGUUCGGAAUUACUGGGCGUAAAGGGCGCGCAGGCGGCUCUGAAAGUCAGAUGUGAAAGCCCCGGGCUUAACCUGGGAAUUGCAUUUGAUACUCUGGAGCUUGAGUGUGGGAGAGGAGAGUGGAAUUCCCAGUGUAGAGGUGAAAUUCGUAGAUAUUGGGAAGAACACCGGUGGCGAAGGCGGCUCUCUGGACCACAACUGACGCUGAGGCGCGAAAGCGGUGGGGAGCAAACAGGG